This 395-nucleotide ribosomal RNA is filed under the name uncultured bacterium. RNAcentral describes it as "partial 16S ribosomal RNA". It matches the Rfam family "Bacterial small subunit ribosomal RNA", at positions 523 to 918 of the family's 1533-position model. The record is from RNAcentral.
AUACGUAGGGUGCAAGCGUUAAUCGGAAUUACUGGGCGUAAAGCGUGCGCAGGCGGUUUUGUAAGACAGAGGUGAAAUCCCCGGGCUCAACCUGGGAACUGCCUUUGUGACUGCAAGGCUAGAGUACGGCAGAGGGGGAUGGAAUUCCGCGUGUAGCAGUGAAAUGCGUAGAUAUGCGGAGGAACACCGAUGGCGAAGGCAAUCCCCUGGUCCUGCACUGACGCUCAUGCACGAAAGCGUGGGGAGCAAACAGGAUUAGAUACCCUGGUAGUCCACGCCCUAAACGAUGUCAACUGGUUGUUGGGUCUUCAUUGACUCAGUAACGAAGCUAACGCGUGAAGUUGACCGCCUGGGGAGUACGGCCGCAAGGUUGAAACUCAAAUGAAUUGACGGGG